ACUCCAGGAAGCCCCGCCCCAAGCUAGAAUGCGAGCUGGGAAAGUAUUCCGCCCCUGAACGGUCCGAUUGGACGAGUCCAGCGCGAGGCCACGCCCACGAAGCUCCCGGGUGCCAUUUUUCAUCCUCUGCUCGAAUGGCCUCGGUCCUCAGUCUGUUUAGAAGGCAGUUGACGCUUUUUUUGGUCCCACAGUGUCAGCCUAAGUGUUUUCGGGGAAGCCUCUGCCCCUGAGUUCCAGACCCAAAUUCCCGUUGUCGCCCACCAACUGUUGUCCAGUUAGUGGGUAGUUACGAGUUUUACACUUCAAUGUUAAACGGUUAGAAUCAAAAGGACUCUGCUACGUUCCCAUUUCAGGUCGAUUAAUGUCGCUUUGUCUUGAGAGUAAAAAAAAAAAGAUUCUCGCCGGGAGCGAGGCAAACCCAGAAGCUUGAAGGAAAUCCGUUCCCAGCUCCUGUCACAGUUCCACAAGGUAACCUGAUUUGAAAGACUGGCUUCAAAUACCUCCGUUUUGACCGCAGUCUGUAUUUUCUAAAUGAAGUUCUUUCCAGCUUUUGUUACCUCUGGCAAAAGGCUGCGUUUCCGAAACCAUCCCCACUGGUAUUAAGGACUGCCCCGGGCCUGCGAGACCCCAGUGAUUGACCCCAAGACCAGGAUAGACUUGACCUUUACUGUCCACCUGUCUGUACGACCUCUGAAAAUCUAUAUUUUCAGCACUUUGUAAAUUGCUUUUCAGAUGCUAGUCCACUGUUUUGGCCUUGUGGAAAUAAAUUCCUGUUUCACUA
Suricata suricatta (meerkat) is the source of this 781-nucleotide long non-coding RNA. RefSeq lists it as uncharacterized. The transcript is spliced from 2 exons. The record is from RefSeq and is a predicted model, not a curated record. NCBI's taxonomy places the organism in Eukaryota, Metazoa, Chordata, Mammalia, Carnivora, Herpestidae.